This 200-nucleotide unclassified non-coding RNA is filed under the name soil metagenome. RNAcentral's name for it is "partial contains internal transcribed spacer 2 and large subunit ribosomal RNA". The record is from RNAcentral.
UGUUCGAGCGUCAUUACAACCCUCAAGCUCUGCUUGGUCUUGGGCCCCGCCGCUCACCCGGCGGGCCUUAAAAUCAGUGGCGGUGCAUCUGGCUCUAAGCGUAGUAAUUCUCUCGCUACAGGGUCCGGGUGGUUGCUUGCCAGAAUCCCCCACUUUUAUAGGUUGACCUCGGAUCAGGUAGGGAUACCCGCUGAACUUAA